This 441-nucleotide ribosomal RNA is filed under the name uncultured bacterium. RNAcentral's name for it is "partial 16S ribosomal RNA". It matches the Rfam family "Bacterial small subunit ribosomal RNA", at positions 338 to 795 of the family's 1533-position model. The record is from RNAcentral.
CCUACGGGAGGCAGCAGUCGGGAAUAUUGCGCAAUGGAGGAAACUCUGACGCAGUGACGCCGCGUAUAGGAAGAAGUUUUUCGGAAUGUAAACUAUUGUCGUUAGGGAAGAGAAAGGCCAGUACCUAAGGAGGAAGCUCCGGCUAACUACGUGCCAGCAGCCGCGGUAAUACGUAGGGAGCGAGCGUUAUCCGGAAUUAUUGGGUGUAAAGGGUGCGUAGACGGGAAAACAAGUCAGUUGUGAAAUGCCUCGGCUUAACUGAGGAAUUGCAACUAAAACUAUUGUUCUUGAGUAUAGGAGAGGCAGGUGGAAUGCCUGGUGUAGCGGUGAAAUGCGUAGAUAUUAGGAAGAACCCCAAUGGCGAAGGCGGCUUACUGGACUGUAACUGACGUUGAGGCACGAAAGUGUGGGGAGCAAACAGGAUUAGAUACCCGAGUAGUC